This 482-nucleotide ribosomal RNA is filed under the name uncultured bacterium. RNAcentral describes it as "partial 16S ribosomal RNA". It matches the Rfam family "Bacterial small subunit ribosomal RNA", at positions 30 to 507 of the family's 1533-position model. The record is from RNAcentral.
AUUGAACGCUGGCGGCAUGCCUUACACAUGCAAGUCGAACGGUAACAGGUCUUCGGAUGCUGACGAGUGGCGAACGGGUGAGUAAUACAUCGGAACGUGCCCGAUCGUGGGGGAUAACGAAGCGAAAGCUUUGCUAAUACCGCAUACGAUCUACGGAUGAAAGCAGGGGACCGCAAGGCCUUGCGCGAACGGAGCGGCCGAUGGCAGAUUAGGUAGUUGGUGGGAUAAAAGCUUACCAAGCCGACGAUCUGUAGCUGGUCUGAGAGGACGACCAGCCACACUGGGACUGAGACACGGCCCAGACUCCUACGGGAGGCAGCAGUGGGGAAUUUUGGACAAUGGGCGAAAGCCUGAUCCAGCCAUGCCGCGUGCAGGAUGAAGGCCUUCGGGUUGUAAACUGCUUUUGUACAGAACGAAAAGACUCUGGUUAAUACCUGGGGUCCAUGACGGUACCGUAAGAAUAAGCACCGGCUAACUACGUG